GAGCUGUGGAGUGUGACAAUGGUGUUUGUGUCCAAUCUAUCAAACGCCAUUAUCACACUAAAUAGCUACUGUUAGA
RNAcentral lists this microRNA precursor (76 nucleotides) under Sphenodon punctatus (tuatara). Its description in RNAcentral is "miRNA (ENSSPUG00000016291.1)". It matches the Rfam family "mir-122 microRNA precursor family". Rfam says of the family: In mammals, miR-122 is enriched in liver cells where it has been implicated as a regulator of fatty-acid metabolism in mouse studies. Lineage: Eukaryota; Metazoa; Chordata; Lepidosauria; Sphenodontia; Sphenodontidae. The record is from RNAcentral.